AUUGAACGCUGGCGGCAUGCUUUACACAUGCAAGUCGAACGGUAACAGGCCUUCGGGUGCUGACGAGUGGCGAACGGGUGAGUAAUGCAUCGGAACGUACCCAGAGGUGGGGGAUAACGCAGCGAAAGCUGUGUUAAUACCGCAUGUGAUCUGAGGAUGAAAGCGGGGGACCGAGCAGCAAUGUUUGGCCUCGCGCCUUUGGAGCGGCCGAUGUCGGAUUAGCUAGUUGGUGGGGUAAAGGCCUACCAAGGCGACGAUCCGUAGCUGGUCUGAGAGGACGACCAGCCACACUGGGACUGAGACACGGCCCAGACUCCUACGGGAGGCAGCAGUGGGGAAUUUUGGACAAUGGGCGCGAGCCUGAUCCAGCAAUGCCGCGUGCGGGAAGAAGGCCUUCGGGUUGUAAACCGCUUUUGGCAGGAACGAAACGGUGUCCGCUAAUACCGGGCGCUAAUGACGGUACCUGCAGAAUAAGCACCGGCUAACUACGUG
This 492-nucleotide ribosomal RNA is filed under the name uncultured bacterium. RNAcentral describes it as "partial 16S ribosomal RNA". It matches the Rfam family "Bacterial small subunit ribosomal RNA", at positions 29 to 507 of the family's 1533-position model. The record is from RNAcentral.